This 328-nucleotide ribosomal RNA is filed under the name uncultured Neocallimastigales. Its description in RNAcentral is "partial large subunit ribosomal RNA". The record is from RNAcentral. Lineage: Eukaryota; Fungi; Neocallimastigomycota; Neocallimastigomycetes; Neocallimastigales.
GUUGUUUAGUUGAAAAUCAAUUAAAUAAUUUUUGAUUUUGAGUAGUAUUGACUUCAUCAGCUUGCUGCUCUCUUUUCGGAAAUUAUUUAAUGCACUUUUCAGUUAACAAGUCAACAUCAAUUUCUUUUGUUGUAAAAGGGUAAGAGGAAGGUGGCUUACAUUUCGGUGUAAGUGUUUAUAGCCUUUUACCUCUGCAAUCGGAGAGAUUGAGGUCAGCAGCGUAGACUCUUCGGGGUUAGAUACGCUUGUGCUAAGCUAUAGCCUUGUAUAGACAACUUGUUGACUAUGCUCAGUCAUGUAGCUUACUCGCUUGCAGUAUUUUACCUAC